UCGCUGUGAAGAUGCAGUGUACCCGCGGCUAGACGGAAAGACCCCGUGAACCUUUACUACAGCUUGGCACUGAACAUUGAACCUACAUGUGUAGGAUAGGUGGGAGGCUUUGAAGACGUGACGCCAGUUGCGUUGGAGCCGUCCUUGAAAUACCACCCUUGUAUGUUUGAUGUUCUAACGUUGGCCCCUAAUCGGGGUUGCGGACAGUGCCUGGUGGGUAGUUUGACUGGGGCGGUCUCCUCCCAAAGAGUAACGGAGGAGCACGAAGGUGGGCUAAUCACGGUUGGACAUCGUGAGGUUAGUGCAAUGGCAUAAGCCCGCUUAACUGCGAGAAUGACGGUUCGAGCAGGUGCGAAAGCAGGUCAUAGUGAUCCGGUGGUUCUGAAUGGAAGGGCCAUCGCUCAACGGAUAAAAGGUACUCCGGGGAUAACAGGCUGAUACCGCCCAAGAGUUCAUAUCGACGGCGGUGUUUGGCACCUCGAUGUCGGCUCAUCACAUCCUGGGGCUGAAGUCGGUCCCAAGGGUAUGGCUGUUCGCCAUUUAAAGUGGUACGCGAGCUGGGUUUAGAACGUCGUGAGACAGUUCGGUCCCUAUCUGCCGUGGGCGUUGGAAGAUUGAAGGGGGCUGCUCCUAGUACGAGAGGACCGGAGUGGACGAACCUCUGGUGUUCGGGUUGUGUCGCCAGACGCAUUGCCCGGUAGCUAAGUUCGGAAUCGAUAACCGCUGAAAGCAUCUAAGCGGGAAGCGAGCCCUGAGAUGAGUCUUCCCUGAUACUUUAAGUAUCCUGAAGGGUUGUUCGAGACUAGAACGUUGAUAGGCAGGGUGUGUAAGCGCUGUGAGGCGUUGAGCUAACCUGUACUAAUUGCCCGUGAGGCUUAACCAU
Molecule: ribosomal RNA, 883 nt
Filed under: Vibrio vulnificus
Lineage: Bacteria; Pseudomonadati; Pseudomonadota; Gammaproteobacteria; Vibrionales; Vibrionaceae
Description: partial 23S ribosomal RNA
Rfam family: Bacterial large subunit ribosomal RNA
Source: RNAcentral